GACCAAAAGUCUGGACUCUGUAUGGCCAAC
RNAcentral lists this small RNA (30 nucleotides) under Bombyx mori (domestic silkworm). RNAcentral's name for it is "ovarian small RNA-15417". The record is from RNAcentral. Lineage: Eukaryota; Metazoa; Arthropoda; Insecta; Lepidoptera; Bombycidae.